RNAcentral lists this ribosomal RNA (285 nucleotides) under Kryptoperidinium foliaceum. Its description in RNAcentral is "partial Bacterial small subunit ribosomal RNA". It matches the Rfam family "Bacterial small subunit ribosomal RNA", at positions 779 to 1064 of the family's 1533-position model. Lineage: Eukaryota; Dinophyceae; Peridiniales; Kryptoperidiniaceae. The record is from RNAcentral.
UAGAUACCCUGGUAGUCCACGCCGUAAACGAUGAGAGCUAGUUGUCAGGCAGCAUGCUGUCUGGUGACGCAGCUAACGCAUUAAGCUCUCCGCCUGGGGAGUACGGCCGCAAGGUUAAAACUCAAAGAAAUUGACGGGGGCCCGCACAAGCGGUGGAGCAUGUGGUUUAAUUCGACGCAACGCGAAGAACCUUACCUGGUCUUGACAUCCUCAGAACUUUCCAGAGAUGGAUUGGUGCCUUCGGGAACUGAGUGACAGGUGCUGCAUGGCUGUCGUCAGCUCGUG